AUUUAAUCUUACCUGCCGAUUUGCAUCCAGUGCUCCGGACUGGAGAGCCCAGGCUGAGAUGGUGUUAAAGGCUUUGACUACGUGGGCUCCUGGCACCAACUGAGCAAGAUAUGCCUCAAGAAUGCACAACUGGAGAUCACAGUCUGGGAAAAACAGAGGCAACUGGCACCUUUCAUCAUUAACUGAAUUGAACCGUUUGCCAACCUGCGAACUGCUUUCUCCUCAACAUCCUUUCCUUUCCUAUGAAGAAAUAACUGGAAGCAUAAUCAUUUUUUUUUUUUUGUAUAAGAAUGACUUGCUAUAACUUAAUUCUUUUGAACUGUUCAUAGGUUUUGUAGCUUAUGCCAUGCUUUCAGGUAUUAAAGAAGGGCUAACGUGUUUUACUUAAGUUAAACUAAUUAAAACUGUUAAAAAUUCAA
Leptonychotes weddellii (Weddell seal) is the source of this 419-nucleotide non-coding RNA. Lineage: Eukaryota; Metazoa; Chordata; Mammalia; Carnivora; Phocidae. The record is from RefSeq and is a predicted model, not a curated record.